Non-coding RNA from Coniochaeta pulveracea, 84 nucleotides. Lineage: Eukaryota; Fungi; Ascomycota; Sordariomycetes; Coniochaetales; Coniochaetaceae. The record is from the annotation of a GenBank genome assembly.
GCCCUUAUAGCUCAGUGGUAGAGCGUUGCACUUGUACGACAUCAUGCAAUGCAAAGGUCCAUAGUUCAAUCCUGUGUGGGGGCA